UGGGGAAUCUUGCACAAUGGGGGAAACCCUGAUGCAGCGACGCCGCGUGAGCGAUGAAGGUUUUCGAAUCGUAAAGCUCUUUCCUAUGGGAAGAUAAUGACGGUACCAUAGGAGGAAGCCCCGGCUAACUACGUGCCAGCAGCCGCGGUAAUACGUAGGGGGCGAGCGUUGUCCGGAAUUACUGGGCGUAAAGGGUUCGCAGGCGGCAUGACAAGUCCGAUGUAAAAGGCGAAAGCUCAACUUUCGUAAGCAUCGGAAACUGUCAAGCUUGAGUGAAGGAGAGGCAAGUGGAAUUCCUAGUGUAGCGGUGGAAUGCGUAGAUAUUAGGAGGAAUACCGGUGGCGAAGGCGACUUGCUGGACUUCAACUGACGCUGAGGAACGAAAGCGUGGGUAGCAAACAGG
This 403-nucleotide ribosomal RNA is filed under the name Bacteroidota bacterium. RNAcentral describes it as "Bacteroidetes bacterium partial 16S ribosomal RNA". It matches the Rfam family "Bacterial small subunit ribosomal RNA", at positions 355 to 776 of the family's 1533-position model. Lineage: Bacteria; Pseudomonadati; Bacteroidota. The record is from RNAcentral.